AAGCGGUGGAGCAUGUGGUUAAUUCGAAGCAACGCGAAGAACCUUACCAGGGCUUGACAUCCCCUGACCGCGUAUGAAAGUACGUUUUCACCCUCGGGUGACAGGGAGACAGGUGGUGCAUGGUUGUCGUCAGCUCGUGUCGUGAGAUGUUGGGUUAAGUCCCGCAACGAGCGCAACCCCUACGUUUAGUUGCUAACAGGUGAAGCUGAGCACUCUAGACGAACUGCCGUUGACAAAACGGAGGAAGGUGGGGAUGACGUCAAAUCAUCAUGCCCCUUAUGUUCUGGGCUACACACGUGCUACAAUGGCCGGUACAGACGGAGGCGAAGCCGCGAGGCGGAGCAAAUCCGAAAAAAGCCGGUCUCAGUUCGGAUUGCAGGCUGCAAUUCGCCUGCAUGAAGUCGGAAUCGCUAGUAAUCGCAGGUCAGCAUACUGCGGUGAAUACGUUCCCGGGCCUU
This 458-nucleotide ribosomal RNA is filed under the name uncultured Pelotomaculum sp. RNAcentral describes it as "bacterial SSU rRNA". It matches the Rfam family "Bacterial small subunit ribosomal RNA", at positions 927 to 1382 of the family's 1533-position model. Lineage: Bacteria; Bacillati; Bacillota; Clostridia; Eubacteriales; Desulfotomaculaceae. The record is from RNAcentral.